RNAcentral lists this ribosomal RNA (700 nucleotides) under uncultured bacterium. Its description in RNAcentral is "bacterial SSU rRNA". It matches the Rfam family "Bacterial small subunit ribosomal RNA", at positions 28 to 737 of the family's 1533-position model. The record is from RNAcentral.
GACGAACGCUGGCGGCGUGCUUAACACAUGCAAGUCGUGGGGNGGGUAGCAAUACCUCACCGGCGAACGGGUGCGUAACACGUGAGCAACUUUCCGAUUUCUGGGGGAUAGCCGGCCCAACGCCGGUAAUACCGCAUACGCUCUUCUGGUGGAGUCAUCGGAAGAGGAAACCUCCGGGGAAGAUCGAGAGGCUCGCGGCCUUAUCAGCUAGUUGGCGGGGUAAUGGCCCACCAAGGCGACGACGGGUAGCUGGUCUGAGAGGAUGGCCAGCCACAUUGGGACUGAGAGACGGCCCAGACUCCUACGGGAGGCUGCAGUGGGAAUCUUGCGCAAUGGUCGAAAGACCGACGCAGCGACGCCGCGUGCGGGAGGAAGCUCUUCGGGGUGUAAACCGGCUGUUGCCCGGGACGAAAUGCCCCUUUUCGAGGGUCUUGACGGUACCGGGUUGAGGAAGCGCCGGCUAACUCUGUGCCAGCAGCCGCGGUAAUACAGAGGGCGCGAGCGUUGUCCGGAAUCACUGGGCGUAAAGGGCGCGUAGGUGGCGGCAUAAGGCUGUGGUGAAAGUCCGGGGCUCAACUCCGGAUCGGCCGUGGCAACUGUGUCGCUAGGGCACCGUAGAGGCAGAUGGAAUUCCGGUGUAGCGGUGGAAUGCGUAGAGAUCCGGAAGAACACCGGUGGCGAAGGCGGUCUGCUGGGCGGU